Molecule: ribosomal RNA, 395 nt
Filed under: uncultured bacterium
Lineage: Bacteria
Description: bacterial SSU rRNA
Rfam family: Bacterial small subunit ribosomal RNA
Source: RNAcentral
GACGAACGCUGGCGGCGUGCUUAAUACAUGCAAGUCGAGCGAGGCCCAUCCGGUGGCAACACCGGGGAAGGCCGAGCGGCGAACGGGUGAGUAACACGUGAGCAACCUGCCCCGAAGUCUGGAAUAACAUCGGGAAACCGGUGCUAAUACCGGAUCGCCCCACCUGACCGCAUGAUCGGGUGAGGAAAGAUUUAUCGCUUCGGGAGGGGCUCGCGGCCUAUCAGCUAGUUGGUGGGGUAACGGCCUACCAAGGCGUCGACGGGUAGCUGGUCUGAGAGGACGACCAGCCACACUGGGACUGAGACACGGCCCAGACUCCUACGGGAGGCAGCAGUAGGGAAUCUUGCGCAAUGGGCGAAGCCUGACGCAGCAACGCCGCGUGGGGAUGACGGCCU